ACUCAAAUGAAUAGACGGGGACCCGCACAAGCGGUGGAGCAUGUGGUUUAAUUCGAAGCAACGCGAAGAACCUUACCAGGUCUUGACAUCCCGCUGCCCGGUAUAGAGAUAUACCUUUCCCUUCGGGGACAGCGGUGACAGGUGGUGCAUGGUUGUCGUCAGCUCGUGUCGUGAGAUGUUGGGUUAAGUCCCGCAACGAGCGCAACCCUUGAUCUUAGUUGCCAGCAUUCAGUUGGGCACUCUAAGGUGACUGCCGGUGACAAACCGGAGGAAGGUGGGGAUGACGUCAAAUCAUCAUGCCCCUUAUGACCUGGGCUACACACGUGCUACAAUGGACGGUACAAAGGGUUGCCAACCCGCGAGGGGGAGCCAAUCCCAUAAAACCGUUCCCAGUUCGGAUUGCAGGCUGCAACUCGCCUGCAUGAAGCCGGAAUCGCUAGUAAUCGUGGAUCAGCAUGCCACGGUGAAUACGUUCCCGGGUCUUGUACACACCGCCCGU
Molecule: ribosomal RNA, 499 nt
Filed under: uncultured bacterium
Lineage: Bacteria
Description: bacterial SSU rRNA
Rfam family: Bacterial small subunit ribosomal RNA
Source: RNAcentral